This 393-nucleotide ribosomal RNA is filed under the name Chrysophyceae sp. RNAcentral's name for it is "partial small subunit ribosomal RNA". It matches the Rfam family "Eukaryotic small subunit ribosomal RNA", at positions 582 to 975 of the family's 1831-position model. The record is from RNAcentral. Lineage: Eukaryota; Chrysophyceae.
AUUCCAGCUCCAAUAGCGUAUACUAAAGUUGUUGCAGUUAAAAAGCUCGUAGUUGAAUUUCUGGUCGUGGCGACCGGUCCGCCCCUCACGGGGUGUGCACCUGGUCUCUGCGUCCAUCCUCGGGGAGAGCGCGUCUGGCAUUCAGUUGUCGGGCGCGGGAUCCUCGUCAUUUACUGUGAGCAAAAUAGAGUGUUCAAAGCAGGCUUAGGCCGUUGAAUACAUUAGCAUGGAAUAAUAAUAUAGGACUUUGGUUUUAUUUUGUUGGUUUCUAAGGCCGAAGUAAUGAUUAAUAGGGAUAUUUGGGGGCAUUCGUAUUAAGCGGUCAGAGGUGGAAUUCUUGGAUUCGCUUACGACGAACUACUGCGAAAGCAUUCGUCAAGAAUGUUUUCAUUA